This is a long non-coding RNA of Juglans microcarpa x Juglans regia, 1302 nucleotides long. RefSeq lists it as uncharacterized. The transcript is spliced from 3 exons. NCBI's taxonomy places the organism in Eukaryota, Viridiplantae, Streptophyta, Magnoliopsida, Fagales, Juglandaceae. The record is from RefSeq and is a predicted model, not a curated record.
UCUAACCUUGUAUUGCAUGUCUUGAGGUUUCGAAUGUCCGUCUGAUCCCAAGUAGAAUCUGGGGCCAUCACAUGAAACCUUUUCCCAAAACUCUCGGCCACACCUACACUGAUAACCACCUCUCAACCAUUCUCACUCACCCUCUACGUCGAAAUUUGUCCCCCACUCGAGCCCCCUCACUCCAUUGUUGAAAUCAAAAGCGACUUCCACAUUCUUAGUCAUCCUCUGCCACUAGAAUCAAGUGUAGACGAUGAGGAGCAAAGGCGAGCUUGCGAGGCUGCGAUCGAGGGCAUUAAGCAGAAGAUAUUGGGGUGUUGAUCCGUGUUUCCAAGGGUCGAGGGAUCUAGGGAAAAUCCAGCAAGCUAGGCCAUCAGAUGGCCAAACCUAGGGUUCUUGGUCUCUCCAGUUAGUGCUUCUAUUCCCUUUUGGAUUCUGUAUCUUCAAAAUCUUUUGAAGGGACAAAGUGGCUUCCUCUUUAAGUUGGGGUAGAUCUUAUAAGCUUUUUGUUUGCUUUUGUAAUUCGUUUUUAUUUUAAAAGUUGUCUUUCCAACCCCGAGGGGUUGGCACAAGUACUUAUCUUUCCAGUAUCUUUUGUUUGCUAUUUGGCAUGUCAAAUGUUGCAUUUUCUAUUAGUUUUCCUGUUCAUGUUAUUUUAAAAUAUUUUUGUUUGAGGCCUGAGUUUUUUGGAUUUCAUAGAUGCUGCUGCUGUGUGAGCUGGUUCUCAAUCCAUAAUAUGGUCAGAAAGCAAAUAUUCUUUCAUUUUACUUCAAAUAUUAGUUCUUAUAAAUUAUCAACUUUUUUUUUUUUUUUUUUUUUUUUAUUGUAAGAGGUUUUAUCUUCUGAAGUUGUUAUAUUGUUUUACUUGGCCUCUCUGUCAUGUUUGGAUAAACACGGACUGUGACCAUAAACCACUACGUACCCAUGCAGCCUCUCCCUACCGCAGUUAGUCUGUUCAAAGGUGCAAAAAGACUUGAAGAUGGAUAGAGUUAACUAGCUUAUUAUAUCUUCUUCUUCUUCUUCUUUUUAUAUUUUUUUCAAGUAGUUAACUAGUUUAUAUCUUGAACAAAUAAACUCUCUUUGAAGAGUAGAUAAGUUGGAAUAACAUGAGUUUUUUAUUUUUUUUAUUUUAUGCUUUAGCUGCCGCCUCUUUUUCUUAGAUGAGCAGGCGUUUUUAAGUUUGGAAGAAUUUUCCAUAACAAAGGUACUAUUAGUUGCUUUCUUAUUCUAUAUUUUGGUUCAUAAAUUCCAACCCAAGUUUGGAAGAAAUUUUCAUAAGAAAGGUACUAUCAACUGCUGUAUCGU